CCUGAGACGUGGCAUCCAGUGACGGGCAUUUGUAGGGCGAAGCUCGUGUUCCCAUUACGCCAGCCUCGGGCUCAAGUUCCACAAGAUUGCCUCCUCCACCCCAGCUUUGAAGGCUCCAUCUGCACUAAAGAGAAAGAAAGAAAGAAAAAAAAGAAAAGAAAAGAAAAGAAAAAAAAGAAAGGAAAGGAAAAGAAAGGAAAGGAAAGGAAAAGAAAAGAAAAGGAGAAAAGAAAAGAAAAAACCUGCUGUCCCCGUCCCCCAGCACUACUGCCCCUGUCCAGGGACCAAAGAUGGGACGAAUCACCUCCCAGAGAUCACCCACCGGCUCCAGGGGCUUCUGUGUAGGAGUGAGGAGGACAGCAGGCCGCGGGAGAGGAGACCAGCCCCAGCCCCAGGGAGGGAGUAACCCCUCAUCCCCAGGAUGCGGCUGCUCAGAUACCAGCGCUCUGCCUCCCUGAGAUUUUCCAGGUGUCCUUACCCUGAAAGAAAGAAUCCUGCAGCUUUGUGCACACGUCAAAGCAGGCUUCGUGCUACAUCCAGAGAAGCAGGAGAGGGCCUCUUCCCAGGCAGCGCUACCGAGUAAAUGCCUAUCAGACUCAGGGUGGGUGCUGGGAGCUACUGCGGAAGAGGUGGGGGCGGCCGGAACCACUGGUCCAGACCUUUCUCCCGCUCCAUCAAAGGGAACUCGUCUCCGGUCCACCUUCACCCCAGGAUCCAAAACGUCUCUCCACUGCCCUCCUGGAGUCCAGAUUUCUCUUGCCCCUUUCCAGACCUUCCCCAGUACCAACCACCAUGAAACUUCUCCUCGACCACCUUGCUGGCCAGUGGAUCUCCUCGUUUUUCUUGGCACUAGUCUCACGCUGCUUCUUUUGUUCACACCGUUCCCCAGGCCUGAGACAACCUCUUCCCCGGUGGUAUAUCUGUGUAAUCCUGUAGCAUACUCUUACUGUCACUUGCACCACCUCCGUCUGCACUUUUCCACAGCAGCCCCGCACCACCACAGGGACACCUCCAAUUCUCCGCUACUGCUGCCCUCACGGCCUCACAGCCUCCAUCACCAUUGGCCUCACCUCCCUGACACAGCGGUCCCCACUGCCGCCACUGUGAUGGCCUUCCUGUGGGCGGUGCCGCCCCCACCGGCUCCAUGACAACGCUGCACUCCCCAUCACCUCCACCCUAACCUGCCACUCACCGCAUGGCCACCCAUCGCUACACUGCACUGGUGACCAUCACCAUCACUGGAAGGGACAUUCAUAAAAUCAAUGGUUCAAUCAAUCAAUCAAUCAAUCAAUUUCAAAUCCCUCCACGGAGGCCAUCAAAGGAUCUAUAGGAGGGGCAGGUGGGUCACAUGGCCCCCAUUCUUGUUCCUGAGUCUCUUCAUCCUUCAAGGAGUCACUCACUGGUUGCCGUGUGUCACCAGAGCGGCCAUGGGGAUCCUCCUGUGGCACCUCGGAGCAUAACUGAGACAAAGCUAGAACUAAUAGUAAGGGGGCAAUAACACAAGCUGCUGCCGGGAAUACAAAUCAGCAUGAACUUUCUGAAGAGAAGUUCAAUUAAAAAAGAAAAAAAGAGUAGUUCAAUGAUAUGACAAUAGCCUUUGGAAAGUGCCUUCUCAGAAAUUUUACUUUUAAGAACCUAAGGAAAUAAUUAAUGUGCAAGGAUGAUGUGUGCUGUUAUAAUAGCAAAAACUAGAAACAGCCUAAGUGCAUAGCAGAAGAGAGAGAGAGAGAGAGAGAUUAAAAAAAAUCACAUGGACUAAAAAAAAAAAAAAUCACAUGGACUGGGAUCCCUGGGUGGCUCAGCAGUUUAGCGCCUGCCUUUGGCCCAGGGCAUGAUCCUGGAGUCCCGGGAUCAAGUCCUGCGACGGGCUCCCGGCAUGGAGCCUGCUUCUCCCUCUGCCUGUCUCUCUCUCUCUCUCUCUGUCUACCAUGAAUAAAUAAAUAAAAAAUUUUAAAAAUCA
RNAcentral lists this long non-coding RNA (1960 nucleotides) under Vulpes vulpes (red fox). Its description in RNAcentral is "lncRNA (ENSVVUG00000018479.1)". Lineage: Eukaryota; Metazoa; Chordata; Mammalia; Carnivora; Canidae. The record is from RNAcentral.